UACGUAGGGUGCGAGCGUUAAUCGGAAUUACUGGGCGUAAAGCGUGCGCAGGCGGUUAUUUAAGCCAGACGUGAAAGCCCCGGGCUUAACCUGGGAAUGGCGUUUGGGACUGGAUAGCUAGAGUUCGGCAGAGGGAGGUGGAAUUCCACGUGUAGCAGUGAAAUGCGUAGAUAUGUGGAGGAACACCGAUGGCGAAGGCAGCCUCCUGGGCCAGGACUGACGCUCAUGCACGAAAGCGUGGGGAGCAAAC
RNAcentral lists this ribosomal RNA (250 nucleotides) under uncultured bacterium. Its description in RNAcentral is "partial 16S ribosomal RNA". It matches the Rfam family "Bacterial small subunit ribosomal RNA", at positions 524 to 773 of the family's 1533-position model. The record is from RNAcentral.